Molecule: long non-coding RNA, 471 nt
Organism: Penaeus chinensis
Lineage: Eukaryota; Metazoa; Arthropoda; Malacostraca; Decapoda; Penaeidae
Exons: 3
Source: RefSeq, a predicted model, not a curated record
UUUAACUCGGUGAUCAUUGGUCACUCGGCGCUCACUCCCGAAGGCUGCGGAGAUGAAACUAGCGGAAUCAUAACACCGAAGAAGGCCGUCUUCAGCAUCGCCGACACCGAGUUUUACAACUUCGAUACCAACAAGUGCACAGCGCUGUCAGGGUGCUCUCAGUGCAAAGUCUUCCAGGGAGGUUAUCAAGCACAGGUCAAAGGCCUCACCUUUGUAAACUCGCCUAACAAGCUGAAGUUCAAGUGGGAACAUGAAACAGUGUGGAUCGAUGCAGAUGGAUCACUGUCUGGGGCUGCUGAAAAUAAAGUUGUACCAGUCUCGGGUAUUCUGCCACCUGAAUGUACGAAAAGUGUCUCAGAUUUCUCUCUGAAUCCAGAGGUCCCCGGUGCCGUCUGCACCUCCUCUGUCGAGUUCGUCAGACUCAGCGUAAAGGGAACCAACGUGAAGCCGCAGUCCUUCCGAGGAGGCGAU